RNAcentral lists this unclassified non-coding RNA (395 nucleotides) under Bombus terrestris (buff-tailed bumblebee). RNAcentral's name for it is "misc RNA ENSBTSG00005038801.1". Lineage: Eukaryota; Metazoa; Arthropoda; Insecta; Hymenoptera; Apidae. The record is from RNAcentral.
CGGCCGAGAGGUACUUUGCCAACCAGACGCCGAAAAGGGAAUAGGAAAGUUUCGGGUGCGUGACGCUAUCGAACCGUCCAGCCAAAUUCGAAGAAAUCAACCACACCGCGCUAUACGAUCCAUCCUGUGCUAUUUAACCAGCGUUAAAGUGUGUCCUGAUUUAAUUACCGUUUUAAUUAGAGCAGCGGGAACGGACUUCGACGACCCGCUGCGCAUCCAUUGGAAUACGAUAUUAGACAGAGGGUAAGUAUUGGAGACUCUUAAAUUGACAAGAGGCGAGAAGAAGUAAUAAGGAUCGGAAAUAUGUAUUAAAAAUCUGGCGAAUUUCAUACGUAAUUUCACUUGUUCAGGAAAUUAUUCCAACGCUUAUAUAGAAAUCUUCUACGACUAUAUUA